Lycium ferocissimum is the source of this 105-nucleotide small nucleolar RNA. Lineage: Eukaryota; Viridiplantae; Streptophyta; Magnoliopsida; Solanales; Solanaceae. The record is from RefSeq and is a predicted model, not a curated record.
AAACCAUGAUUUGGGCUCUUGUAAAUACUCCUUAAAUCUCUCCCGAGGCUUCAUAUAGUUGUUCCCCGAUUGUUGCUUAAAUUCAUAGAUCUUGUCACUAAUUUC